Molecule: ribosomal RNA, 497 nt
Filed under: uncultured bacterium
Lineage: Bacteria
Description: partial 16S ribosomal RNA
Rfam family: Bacterial small subunit ribosomal RNA
Source: RNAcentral
GACGAACGCUGGCGGCGUGCCUAAUACAUGCAAGUAGAACGCUGAAGAGAGGAGCUUGCUCUUCUUGGAUGAGUUGCGAACGGGUGAGUAACGCGUAGGUAACCUGCCUUGUAGCGGGGGAUAACUAUUGGAAACUAUAGCUAAUACCUCAUAACAAUGGAUGACACAUGUCAUUUAUUUGAAAGGGGCAAUUGCUCCACUACAAGAUGGACCUGCGUUGUAUUAGCUAGUAGGUGAGGUAAUGGCUCACCUAGGCGACGAUACAUAGCCGACCUGAGAGGGUGAUCGGCCACACUGGGACUGGGACACGGCCCAGACUCCUACGGGAGGCAGCAGUAGGGAAUCUUCGGCAAUGGGGGCAACCCUGACCGAGCAACGCCGCGUGAGUGAAGAAGGUUUUCGGAUCGUAAAGCUCUGUUGUAAGUCAAGAACGGGUGUGAGAGUGGAAAGUUCACACUGUGACGGUAGCUUACCAGAAAGGGACGGCUAACUACGUG